This 355-nucleotide ribosomal RNA is filed under the name uncultured Actinomycetales bacterium. RNAcentral describes it as "bacterial SSU rRNA". It matches the Rfam family "Bacterial small subunit ribosomal RNA", at positions 355 to 722 of the family's 1533-position model. Lineage: Bacteria; Bacillati; Actinomycetota; Actinomycetes; Actinomycetales. The record is from RNAcentral.
UGGGGAAUCUUGCGCAAUGGGCGAAAGCCUGACGCAGCGACGCCGCGUGAGGGAUGACGGCCUUCGGGUUGUAAACCUCUUUCAGCCCUGACGAAGCGAAAGUGACGGUAGGGGCAGAAGAAGCACCGGCCAACUACGUGCCAGCAGCCGCGGUAAUACGUAGGGUGCAAGCGUUGUCCGGAAUUAUUGGGCGUAAAGAGCUCGUAGGCGGUCUGUCGCGUCGGCUGUGAAAACUCGGGGCUCAACUCCGAGCUUGCAGUCGAUACGGGCAGGCUAGAGUGCGGCAGGGGAGACUGGAAUUCCUGGUGUAGCGGUGAAAUGCGCAGAUAUCAGGAGGAACACCGGUGGCGAAGGC